GUUCGCUUCGCGUUUUGGCCAGGGCGGGGGUCUGGGCUUUAGGCAGGUAGUAUUUAGUUUCACAAUGUUUGGGGACCUGUUUGAAGAGGAGUAUUCCACUGUGUCUAAUAAUCAGUAUGGAAAAGGGAAGAAAUUAAAGACUAAAGCUUUGGAGCCACCUGCUCCUAGAGAAUUCACCAAUUUAAGCGGAAUCAGAAAUCAGGGUGGAACCUGUUACCUCAAUUCCCUUCUUCAGACUCUUCAUUUCACACCUGAAUUCAGAGAAGCUCUAUUUUCUCUUGGCCCAGAAGAGCUUGGUUUGUUUGAAGAUAAGGAUAAACCCGAUGCA
This 328-nucleotide long non-coding RNA is filed under the name Homo sapiens (human). RNAcentral describes it as "non-protein coding lnc-HJURP-8:1". Lineage: Eukaryota; Metazoa; Chordata; Mammalia; Primates; Hominidae. The record is from RNAcentral.